CUGAGGUGAAGUCGGAUGUGUAACCGGCUGAGGCCACCCAGGCGCCCUCCCAGAGUGAGACUCUGGAUUGCCCGACUCUACCAGGGAUCUUCUUCCAAGGUUGUCACAGAAUUGUGACGCGAGCCUCAUCACAGCUGCCAUAACACAUCACAAGACAUGCACAUGGCAGGCACUCAGAGUUGAAGCUGCAAAUGAAAACCGGAAGCAAGCUGGGCUUUCCACUGCAGAGAGAAAUGUCUCCACAUGCUUGGGAAAAUGACUUCUGCCGCACUGGAAUAUGUCUAUAAAGGGAAGUUUUCCCUCAUCAACUAUUUGGUUUACCUGGUCACUUUCAUGGAGGAAAGCUUUGACCACCGGGAGGGCUUUUGGCUGACACCUAUGCCCCUGUGACAUAUUCCCGCCCCACAGAGCUCUCUAGUCCUUUCUGAAGAUCUGAUGAGAAGUCUGCUACUCAGAAGAAAGCCCUCAGUCGACCACGCUGGCACUGUGACCUUGGACUUCCAGUCUCCAGAACCGUGAGAAAUAAAUUUCUGUUGUUUAUAAGCCUCCCACUCUUCAGUAUUUUGUUAUAGCAGCCCAAAUGAACUGAGAUACCACCCAUUUAUGCGAUCAGAAUUUUCUCAGAACUGGAUGACCAAAGCCAAAUAGAAAAAUAAGUUGGAUGCCGAGACUGACUGUGAAUCAGCCAGGGCUUUGAUUUAGGAGCACAACAGGAACUGGCUCUGGAUGAGUAAAGCUGAAGAGGAAUUUAUGGAAAGGAUGUUGGGUAGCCCGUGGAAUCUCUGGGAAGGCCUGAGAGCCAGGCACAGGGCAUGAAUGAGAACAAAGGAUGCUGGGAAGUAGCUAAGAGCAUGGCCAAAAUUGUGGCACAGAAGUUAUCCAGAGCCCUGCCCUGGCCUCAGAACCCUGGAAGGCUUGUGCCACAACCAGGACUGGGGCCUGAAAGAUAACCAGGCUGCUGCCACUACCCUGGAAUCUGGACAUGGCUGCCACAGCUGCUGCCGUCCCCACUGGAGAAGCUUCUCUAAGGGGUUCUCUCUGUGAUCUCUGAUUCAGGAUCCAGGUGGUGCUCCUGAUUGGCCAAGCCCAGGUCACAUGUCUGAGUCCUGCCAAUGAAAGAGGCUGGGAAGCAAGUGUCAUGAUUUCAGUCUCUAUAGUGAGAGGUGAGCAGUAGACUUUAACUUCCACUAAGACUCAUAAGAUGGUGUCUCCCAUGCACCUGGGAAGGGAUUCUGAAGCUGGACAGCCAAGAAGUGACAAAUGCCAUCGAUCAACUCUGCUUUCAGAUUUCGUGCCAUCAUAGUAACAGCCUCA
Felis catus (domestic cat) is the source of this 1314-nucleotide long non-coding RNA. RefSeq lists it as uncharacterized. NCBI's taxonomy places the organism in Eukaryota, Metazoa, Chordata, Mammalia, Carnivora, Felidae. The transcript is spliced from 4 exons. The record is from RefSeq and is a predicted model, not a curated record.